This 1213-nucleotide long non-coding RNA is filed under the name Sus scrofa (pig). RNAcentral describes it as "lncRNA (ENSSSCG00000049297.2)". Lineage: Eukaryota; Metazoa; Chordata; Mammalia; Artiodactyla; Suidae. The record is from RNAcentral.
UCACCAAGAGCCCUCUGCCAGCCAGGAGAGUCCCGGCUGUGACACGUACCUGCAUAAUCGCCAUGGGGUGGCUGCUGCCUGACUCCCAGGUGUGCUGUCGGUCCCUCAUUCUGACACGGUUCAAGAGACUCUUCCGAAUCAUCAGCUACACGAAGGAGGAAAAAAAAAAAAAAAAGCUACAUAAAUGACAGAAAGCAAAGAUUGCUCAAGUCAAAAUUUAUCUGGAAACAAAGGAUUUGGAAUCAUCUGGCUCAGAUUUAUAGAACCAUAAAAAUAUUCUUAGAAAAAAAUCUGACAACAUAUUAGAAAAUACAUUGCAAUGAUAUUUCAUAUACAUACCACCUUGAUUUAACAAUUUCUCUAAUCAUCCCCAAAAUGUCUCUGAAGAGUUGGUUUGUAGGGAACACCUUAACAAGAACAAACUAAAUUUAAGGCAACAGCUGAACUUCAACUUCCCAAACACUUCCUAAGUUAUUAUCAUCAAUUACAUCUUCUCCAAUCAAGAGGACAUUUUCAUUUGUUUAUGCCAGAAACAGCCUUGCAUAGUUCAUUCAACUGAAAAAAUGAUGCAGACCCAAAGAAAGCAAGAGAAAUAAAUAGCAACCUUCCUUUAAAGCAGGAAGACCUGUUAAAGAUCUCUUCUCUUUUCAGUAGAAAAUGAGUAAUUCCUAUCAAGGUCGCCAGCAUCAGCAUCUCACAAACACACACACGUGUAAUCAAAGGAAGAAAGGACGCCAGUGUUUCUGUCUAUUGCAGGAUUCAACCCCAGAAGCUCUCAGCAAACACUGCUAUUUCCUUCGUAGGAAGAUCGUGAAUCAUUCAUGCCUUAAAAUGCUAUUGUCAGUGGUUUGCGUCCUAAGACUUGAACAAUCCGUCCGUCCAUGAGUGCUUCAUGAACUGGAUACCUGUGCGAUGCCCAACAGCAGUCAGGGUUGGCGCAGGUGGGAGAAGACACGAGGGAGAAUGCGGAGAGCCUGGCGGAGGUGGGCAAGUCCACACUUACUGGUUUCACCUUGAACUGCAGCCCAUACUUGCCUUCAGAGAAAGAGCUCCAAAUUCUUUUGAAAAUUGUGAAUCUAUGCUAUUCUAAUGUAUUUUUCCAAAAUUCAGGGAUUCUAUUCUGAAUAAUUUAUAAAAUUCAUAGUUGGAUUGUGACACUAAACAACGAAAAGCCAAUUCUCGAACUGUUAUAAAUCUAUUAAAGCCAAUGCAG